RNAcentral lists this transfer RNA (74 nucleotides) under Tetrabrachium ocellatum (four-armed frogfish). RNAcentral's name for it is "tRNA-Leu". The record is from RNAcentral. Lineage: Eukaryota; Metazoa; Chordata; Actinopteri; Lophiiformes; Tetrabrachiidae.
GCUUUUAUAGGAUAUUUAGUUCAUCCGUCGGUCUUAGGAAUCGGAGAUUCUUGGUGCGAGACCAAGUAGAAGCU